Molecule: ribosomal RNA, 440 nt
Filed under: uncultured bacterium
Lineage: Bacteria
Description: partial 16S ribosomal RNA
Rfam family: Bacterial small subunit ribosomal RNA
Source: RNAcentral
CCUACGGGAGGCAGCAGUGGGGGAUAUUGCACAAUGGGGGAAACCCUGAUGCAGCGACGCCGCGUGAGUGAAGAAGUAUUUCGGUAUGUAAAGCUCUAUCAGCAGGGAAGAAAAUGACGGUACCUGAUUAAGAAGCCCCGGCUAACUACGUGCCAGCAGCCGCGGUAAUACGUAGGGGGCAAGCGUUAUCCGGAUUUACUGGGUGUAAAGGGAGCGUAGACGGCAGCGCAAGUCUGAAGUGAAAUGCCGGGGCUCAACCCGUGAACUGCAUUUGAAACUGUUUCCCUUGAGUGUCGGAGAGGUAAUCGGAAUUCCUUGUGUAGCGGUGAAAUGCGUAGAUAUAAGGAAGAACACCAGUGGCGAAGGCGGAUUACUGGACGAUAACUGACGGUGAGGCGCGAAAGCGUGGGGAGCAAACAGGAUUAGAUACCCGGGUAGUC